Molecule: ribosomal RNA, 572 nt
Filed under: Parabacteroides faecalis
Lineage: Bacteria; Pseudomonadati; Bacteroidota; Bacteroidia; Bacteroidales; Tannerellaceae
Description: partial 23S ribosomal RNA
Rfam family: Bacterial large subunit ribosomal RNA
Source: RNAcentral
AAGAAAGUAAGCAAGGGCAGACGGUGGAUGCCUUGGCUCUCGGAGGCGAAGAAGGACGUGAUAAGCUGCGAAAAGCCCGGGGGAGAUGCAAAUAAUCCUUGAUCCCGGGAUAUCCGAAUGGGGCAACCCGGCAGGUUGAAGGCCUGUCACCUUGAAAUAAGGAGCAAACGCGGGGAACUGAAACAUCUAAGUACCCGUAGGAGAAGAAAACAAAAGUGAUUCCGUAAGUAGUGGCGAGCGAACACGGAACAGCCCAAACCGGUGUUGUUUAGGCAAUACCGGGGUAGUAGGACCACGUUGUGGCAAGCAAACAGGGAAGUGGAAUCAACUGGAAAGUUGAGCCAGAGACGGUGAAAGCCCGGUACACGACUCCUUGUCGAAGCCUAGUGGUAUCCUGAGUAACGCGGAGCACGAGGAAUUCUGCGCGAAUCAGCGGGGCCCAUCCCGUAAGGCUAAAUACUCCCGAGAGACCGAUAGCGAACCAGUACUGUGAAGGAAAGGUGAAAAGAACCCCGAACAGGGGAGUGAAAUAGACCCUGAACCCGUCUGCCUACAAGCGGUCGGAGCAGCUU